GACGAACGCUGGCGGCGUGCUUAACACAUGCAAGUCGAACGCUGAAGCUCAGCUUUUGUUGGGUGGAUGAGUGGCGAACGGGUGAGUAACACGUGAGUAACCUGCCUCCUUCUUUGGGAUAACGCCCGGAAACGGGUGCUAAUACUGGAUAUUCACUGGUCUUCGCAUGGGGGUUGGUGGAAAGGGUUUUUCUGGUGGGGGAUGGGCUCGCGGCCUAUCAGCUUGUUGGUGGGGUGAUGGCCUACCAAGGCUUUGACGGGUAGCCGGCCUGAGAGGGUGACCGGUCACAUUGGGACUGAGAUACGGCCCAGACUCCUACGGGGGGCAGCAGUGGGGAAUAUUGCGCAAUGGGCGCAAGCCUGAUGCAGCGACGCCGCGUGAGGGAUGGAGGCCUUCGGGUUGUGAACCUCUUUCGCUCAUGGUCAAGCCGCAACAAUGGUUGUGGUGAGGGUAGUGGGUAAAGAAGCGCCGGCUAACUACGUG
Molecule: ribosomal RNA, 483 nt
Filed under: uncultured bacterium
Lineage: Bacteria
Description: partial 16S ribosomal RNA
Rfam family: Bacterial small subunit ribosomal RNA
Source: RNAcentral